GAGCCUCGCGCGAUUGGAGCGGCCGAUAUCAGAUUAGGUAGUUGGUGGGGUAAAGGCCUACCAAGGCUACGAUCUGUAGCGGGUCUGAGAGGAUGAUCCGCCACACUGGAACUGAGACACGGUCCAGACUCCUACGGGAGGCAGCAGUGGGGAAUUUUGGACAAUGGGGGCAACCCUGAUCCAGCCAUGCCGCGUGAGUGAAGAAGGCCUUCGGGUUGUAAAGCUCUUUCGGCCGGGAAGAAAUCGCAUAGGCUAAUACCCUGUGUGGAUGACGGUACCGGAAUAAGAAGCACCGGCUAACUACGUG
This 307-nucleotide ribosomal RNA is filed under the name uncultured bacterium. RNAcentral's name for it is "bacterial SSU rRNA". It matches the Rfam family "Bacterial small subunit ribosomal RNA", at positions 208 to 507 of the family's 1533-position model. The record is from RNAcentral.